This 429-nucleotide ribosomal RNA is filed under the name Chloroflexota bacterium. Its description in RNAcentral is "Chloroflexi bacterium partial 16S ribosomal RNA". It matches the Rfam family "Bacterial small subunit ribosomal RNA", at positions 355 to 776 of the family's 1533-position model. Lineage: Bacteria; Bacillati; Chloroflexota. The record is from RNAcentral.
UGGGGAAUAUUGCACAAUGGGCGCAAGCCUGAUGCAGCCAUGCCGCGUGUAUGAAGAAGGCCUUCGGGUUGUAAAGUACUUUCAGUCGGGAGGAAGGGAGUAAAGUUAAUACCUUUGCUCAUUGACGUUACCCGCAGAAGAAGCACCGGCUAACUCCGUGCCAGCAGCCGCGGUAAUACGGAGGGUGCAAGCGUUAAUCGGAAUUACUGGGCGUAAAGCGCACGCAGGCGGUCUGUCAAGUCGGAUGUGAAAUCCCCGGGCUCAACCUGGGAACUGCAUUCGAAACUGGCAGGCUAGAGUCUUGUAGAGGGGGGUAGAAUUCCAGGUGUAGCGGUGAAAUGCGUAGAGAUCUGGAGGAAUACCGGUGGCGAAGGCGGCCCCCUGGACAAAGACUGACGCUCAGGUGCGAAAGCGUGGGGAGCAAACAGG